Long non-coding RNA from Fundulus heteroclitus (mummichog), 3238 nucleotides. RefSeq lists it as uncharacterized. NCBI's taxonomy places the organism in Eukaryota, Metazoa, Chordata, Actinopteri, Cyprinodontiformes, Fundulidae. The transcript has 2 exons. The record is from RefSeq and is a predicted model, not a curated record.
GGAGAGGGGGCCGCGUGAGCUCUCGCGGCAGCCAUUUUCCUUAAAACAGGACUCAAUGGCCUAUAUGGGUUUCCUUUGUUCCAAAAGGGAUCUUUACACUUGGUUUCCUCAUCUCUUUACGGACUAUGAUAAAACCAACAUGGCUCGUCUUGUACCCUGCCCUGCAACGUUGGAAACUACCAGAAACACCUUAGGUUGGAGUCGUCCACACGCGUCCAAAGUGUAAAUGCUGGUUUGACCUUGCCUCAAGGGUAUAUCUGAAUAGCUAAAAGACGCAUAUUCAGGUAGUCCCUUUUGACAAAAACAAACAAAACAAACGUUCAUGUAAUAUUUAAAGCACAAACAAUUCCAAAUCGUAAUAGGAAACCGAUGGAGGGAAAACUUCUCAUGGUGAAGAUAUUUACCUCAACACUUUGGUGAAAUGCAGUUAACAGGCCUAAACGCAGGGACAGGAGGGAUGUUUUCAGCCCCAUCUUCGGAUCCUCUAAUAAUGGCUUUAAUAAGGGGUGGGAAUGCGUCUCCUGAAAAGGAAGGAAUUCCAUUAGCACGACAGUUAAACCUCUUUUCAAAAAAAAAAAGUCUCUUUCCCCCCUCUCUCAUCACUGGCGAGCAUACUCCAUCUGACAGUCAGCGAAUAUGCAUCUUCAAGCAUCAUCUGUGUGGGCAAUAUGCAAAACCAUCUCUUCUCUUCCUCAAGACAGCAUUGCAGUCGAUUAUAACCUCGUCCAUGUUCGACAUUUCUAACUGAGCUACAUCAUUUAAACCUACAUGGAAAUGUUUUAAAAAAGGUAAUGGAUUUUCUUUGAGCUAUUUCACCAAUCUUUUUUUAUGGCUUAUACAUGAACACAUUACACAUGUGCUUUUUAAAAAAAAAAAAAAACUUGACAAAAGUAUUAUAGGAAGAAAAGGAAAAAAAAUGCUACAACCCACAUUUUGUGAUAUAGCAAACUUACAGUUGAUAUUCAAAAAAUAUGUAAUCCAACUCUUUAAAAACGAGCAAAAAGCAAUCUUAUGGGGAAGAAAUCUUGUGUUUUUCACUGAUUCCUUACAUCCAAAUAAAACCUUUGGGUGGUCAGGAGUCUGCUCUUGCUCACUUACUUCUCUGUCUCAAAAUGGCUUCUUUACAGACAAAAGGAGCACUGUGCUGUGAAAUGUUGCUGCGCCAUAACUGGGUGAGGCUCCGAGAGCGCCCUUGUUUUUUUUGUUAUCGAACACGUCCUUCGACGUUUUCGGCACUUAAAACCUAAAAUAGCGGCUGUAAAGACGGUGGUUACCGUCCGAAUGCUGUAUACUUUAAUAAAAAAAAAAAAAGAGGGAGAAUGGUUGACCGUCCGUGUGGGGGUGAAACUUUGAUCAUAAAAGCGUACUCAGGCAGCCGGUUGCUAGGCUGGCUUGUAAUCCGAGAACUCUGGACGGUUGCCAUGAGAGCUCGAGCGCGCGGCGCUGCAGCAACAACCCCCACACACACUGCCAUAUAAGGUCAACGGGAAUCCGCUGCGGCAAGCCCCUUGUUUGUGCGCGUUGUAUCUAGGUGAAGGGUGCUUCGAGGCAGAAACCGGCGGAACAACAAGCGAGCAGCACGGCGUUUUUUUUUUUUUUUUUUUUUUUUUUUUUUUUAAAGCGCCGCAGACUAGUUAGUGGGAACAAAUGAGAUUGGAUUAUUUUUAUUUUUUUAUUUAUUUUUGUUAACUUCGGGGAAAGAGUUAAAUUUAUAGGUGGGAGGGUCUGUAUUCGCUCGCGCAAAGGAGGGGCGGGGGUCUCCAGGUGCAUUUCAAGGUUAAUGCAUUUUUCCCCCCCUCAAUGCGAGAUAAAUAGCAGGGCACAAAAAAGCCUUUUGUAUGCCAGAGGCCUGUUCACUGCGCAUUUUAUUCACGACCAACCCGAUGUGUUUGACUGAAGCAGUGAAAAUGUCAUCUUUAGUAGAGAGUUUAGCGUUGAAACCCACGAGUGAAGGUAUUUAUAGGCUUUUAUUUGCAGAAAAGCCUUCCCCUGUGGGCAGCGCCGCUCAGUUUUACUCCGCCGCUCAGCAGACUGGAAUAUUCCACACAGGGGAUUGGCCUCGUUUCCGCAGGACAGCUGUCGCUCUCUAUCUCUCUAUCUCUCUCUAUCUCUCUCUCUGUGUCUCUCUCUCUGUUUCUCUUUCUUUCUCUCUGUGCUCGGCGAGAAAAUAUUUCAAGAAUUGUUCUCUGUGAGUUGAUAAAGGGCUGUGUACGUGUGGACACUCUAUAGGACACAUUUACAGGCGACCAUUUUACGCAUAUGUGAAGCUUCGAGUUUCACUCAGUAAGUCCUACAAGCACGUUUUAUUGUUUAUUAGACAGGUUUUUUUUUCCCCCACAGCUUGAAACGGACUCUUUUACUCGUUUUAAAGCUGUAAGACUUCUUUUUUUUUUUUUUUUUUUUUUUUAACAUGUAUUGAAACAUGUACUUAAAGCUUUAAGGUGGUGAAGUUUUAUUGAUUCAAUGCAUCUUUCUAUUUCUAGUGACUUGCUAUGCUAAGAUUGAUGGUAUUUUAUUCGAUUGAAAACAAUAGGUUCUUUUUUGUGGCUCUUAAACAUUUGAAUGUAAUUAUAUUUUUUAUACUACAGACCUGCUUGUAGUUUUAUUUUUGUUUCUGACGUUUUAAUAAAGACUGUACACUAAUUUUGUUGAAUUUUGUGCUAUUAUUUUGUAAAGGAUUUCCAGGCCCACACUUUAUUGGGGGAAGGGACACAAAUGUGCAGGGAACAUUAUGUCAAAUACAGGCUGACAUUGUUGGCUCAAUCAUUUACAAAUCAGUAAUUCAUGCUUAUAAUAUAAAGAGAAGGCUUCCUCAGCGAGCUCACUUCCGACACCAAUCUUGAGAUUUGACUUGACAGACUGCCUUCGUGUUAAGAGAACGGGUCAGUCCUAGAACAUUUUGCCAUGUUCUGAUGGAUGAACGCUGACUCCCUGUGAUCUGCUCGCUCUGGGGACUCUACCCACAUGAGCAGAUCUUCAUCAAAGUUAAAACAUUUUUCAGAAUAUAAGCUUAUACAUUUAAUUUCUAGAGCACUGUUGCUUAAAUGCACUAAAGGAUCCGGAUGCUUUACGGGCAAAAAGUGAAUGUUUGCGUGUAUUGUGCAUCUAAACUUCCUUAACCCGAGUCAGAUAAACCAUCUCUGCCUCUGUGUCUAGAAUAGAAUAGCCUUUAUUUAUGCACACUGGGGAAAUUCUCUUCUUAACGAGAGCACAAGUGCAAAAUCCACACAAGUAAAAA